AAUAAGGUUGAGAAAGGUUUCUCUGUCACACACACUGUUGGAAUUAACCACGUGUCCUAGUCCGGCUUGGACAGGAACUAAUCCUCGUAUAGGAGUCGGAUAGGUGUAGGCUAGCUGAGUCGGAUAGGUGUAGGUUAGCUUGCUCCUUUAUAUACUCUUGUAACCCCGUGUAACUCAACCCAGAUCAAAGUAAUAAAGAUCAGCAGGACCGAUACGGCCCUGCAGCCAUCAACUCGGCGUAACCUGUUCCCGGCUAGUUGUGCUAGUUCACAUCCAUCAAUCUUGCGGCGUUGCAUAGCUUGUAGCUAGCCACCACAAAAGCAUCCACCUGCUACCCUGCCUGCUUAGGUUACGCGUACGCGUGCAUCUUCUCCAGAGGAAACCGAUCGGCCGGCUCGCACAACUAGCGGCUGCUGCGUACGUACGUGCACCGGCGGAAAGUACUCGUCCGGAGUGAUGUCCGACGCGGGCCUGUGGCCAACAAUUGGUAUCUAGAGCUUUGGUGUAUUGGCGUGAUUCUCGGAAAGCACUCGAAGGAUCAUGUCGAACACAGGCAAGGAGAUCGUGACGGCAGCAGCGGGAGCGCCGAUGCCAAUGGUGGGGGUGUCGCAAUUCCCCGUCUGGAUCGAGAGGACUACGUGAUGGAUUCAUAUACCUAGGGUAGGGUCAUAGGCCUGACCUAAACAUCCUACCCAAGGACACUCUCAGAAGAGAUCAUCUUCCAGUCGACCAAAGAGGAACCCACUCGACUGACUGGAAGGACUCGACCAUGGAAGACUCACUCGACCAUGAAGACUCACUCGACCACCAAAAGGUCAGAAGACACUCCGCGGCACAACGGCUUGCUAUUGAAUAGACUUAAUGUUAGUUAAGACACUUUAUGAGGGGCGUUACCAGUCACGCCCCAGGCUUAAUGUACUUUAACCUCUCCAUUAUGUGGGCUGGCUGGGGUCCUGGCGCACUCUAUAUAAGCCACCCCCCUCCACAGAUAGAGGGGUUCCCACUCUUGUAAUACUCAUACUCAUAAUCCACUCGACCGCCUCAGGGCUCCGAGACGUAGGGCUGUUACUUCCUCCAAGAAGGGCCUGAACUCGUACAUCGUUUGUCUUCACAACUACUCCAUAGCUAGGACAUCGCCUCCCCUUACCUACCCCUAUUUCUACUGUCAGACUUAGAACCACGACAGUUGGCGCCCACCGUGGGGCAGGUGUUUUAGCGAUUUGUGGAGGAGUUGCAAUACUUCCGAGUACCUUCAUCAUGAUGACUGCUGGAGUUUUGGGUGAGGGACACGAGAUCCGUCUCGGUGCUCUCACUUUUGUCGUCGACGACUCCGCAUGGCUCCAGGAGGCUCCACUUGACAUCGAGGCGCUCCCCGUCCGCGGGGCGACGCACUUUCGCGCAUGUGUUCGCGGCGUUCUGCUGCGGCAACCGUCGACCCCGUAUCGGUCGACUCCUCUAUCGGUCGCCCGCCCAGUCUCCCACCAGCGCAAGCGUUCUGGUCGGUCGAGGCUUCAGCGGUGGGUGAAACACGCGGUGGCUCGCCAGACAGCCACCGCCCAGGUCGCGGCCAUCGAGCCCGACGAAUCCCUCUACGGCCUGUUCGAUCUGUCGACUGGCUCCGUAGAGACUGCAUCCGAGUGUGAUAGCAGUGAUCCAGCGGCGGAGAUCCUCAUGGUCGACGGCCCUCGCAGUCCUCCCGGCUUCGCCCACGGCGGUGGGGCCGCCGGAGGAGGAGACCCCGUGCAAGAGCACGAAGAGUACCAGCCCGAGACACUCGACUCUCUGCAGAGAGAAGAGCUUCGUCGCAGGAACAUGGAUGCACUACAUACUCCUAUCGCCGGAGAAACCCCUGAGGCUCGUGCCUUGGAGGAAGCACGUUUGGCCAAUGUGGCUGAACGCGCUCGCCUGGAAAAUCUUCAGCGAGCACUCGACGAGCGCGCGCGGCAACGACUCCCCGAAGCCAGUCGACGUCGACUCUUCCCACCGACUCAGGUAUACCGCACGCCAGUUCAGAAUUUAGCAGCUGCAACUCGCAUAGCAGAGUCCAUCCAGCCGUCCCAGUCGGAAGCUGGGAGAGGCUUGCAGCAGAUCAGAGAUUUACUCCGAGCGGCAGGAGACCAGAACUCAGCCGUGUCACAGUCGCGCAACAGGAUUCACAGUCGAUCCGUCGCUGCGAACACUGUCCAGUCGGCUCACAGCCCCCGAUCGCCUCCGCGGCGAGAAGGGCGCGACAACCGGCGAGAGCAGCACGGAGACCGAUUCGAUCGAGAUGACAGGCGUCGAGUGCCCCUUUCCCCUCCGAGGGAAGGGUCGUACGCUCCUCGGCGGCAAGAUGACAGACGACAGUUCAGUACGGGGCGAAGAGUUCCAGUCGACCCCAGGGAACCAGGCUUUGACGCGCGAUCCAUUAUCGUGCAAGGCUUGGUCGACAGAAACAGAGCCCAUCGAGGCGGACCCGAGAGGGAUGCACCCACCAGCAGUCGAGUGCAUAUCUCUGGUCCGGAGUGUUUUAGCAGGGCUAUCAGAGCCGCAGUGAUCCCCCCUAAUUUCAGAUUGGCAACAGGAGUCAGCAAGUUCACUGGGGAAUCCAAGCCUGAAACUUGGCUUGAGGAUUACCGAGUGGCUGUUCAGAUUGGUGGUGGGAAUGAUGAGGUGGCCAUGAAGCAUUUGCCCCUCAUGUUGGAAGGUUCUGCCAGAGCAUGGCUGAAUCAGUUACCUCAUAGCAGUAUAUAUACUUGGGAAGAUUUGUCCCGAGUGUUCGUCAGGACUUUUGAAGGGACUUGCAAGCGACCGGCUGGUUUGACAGAGCUGCAAGUUUGUGUGCAGAAGACCAAUGAAACUCUCCGAGAGUACAUUCAGAGGUGGAUUACCUUGCACCAUACUGUAGAAAAUGUGUCUGACCAUCAGGCGGUUUGCGCCUUCAAAGAUGGCGUCAAAAACAGAGAAUUGAGUCUGAACUUUGGUCGAACCGGGGACAUGACCCUGAGUCGAAUGAUGGAGAUUGCUAGCAAAUACGCCAAUGGCGAGGAAGAAGACCGACUCCGAAGCGGCAAGUACAAGCCAAGCCAGUCGGAGAAGGGAAAUUCCAGUCGGAAGCAGAAACGAAAAGCCGAGCCAGCAGCUCCUGGAGAGGCCCUGGCCGUGACUCAGGGGAAGUUCAAGGGGAAGCCCAAAGGAUCCUGGAAUCCGAAGAAAGUGAAAGAUAAAGAAGGAAAUGACGUGAUGGAUAUCCCAUGCCAUAUUCACACGAAGAAAGAUGAAGAGGGCAACAUCAUUUACCCAAAGCACACCACUCGCCAGUGUCGACUCCUGAUCCAGCAGUUUCAGGGAAAACAGUCUAAGGACAAGGAGAAGGAGCCAGACAAGGCCGGAGACAAAGAGGACAGUGAGGAAGAAUAUCCGCAUGUCAACUCCACUCUGAUGAUCUUCGCGGAUGUGGAAAGCAAAAGUCGACUGAAAGUCAUCAAUCGGGAGGUGAAUAUGGUUGCCCCAGUAAAGCCAAGUUAUGUGAAGUGGUCCCAGACACCCAUCACAUUCGACCAAUCUGAUCACCCGACUCACAUUGCCACUCCUGGGCGGCAAGCGUUAGUGGUCGAUCCAGUUGUCGAAGGCACUCGACUGACAAAAGUGCUGAUGGAUGGUGGUAGUGGGCUGAAUUUGUUAUAUGCGGAUACAUUGAAAGGGAUGGGCAUUCCGAUGUCCCGAUUGAGCGCCAGCAAUAUGAGUUUCCACGGAGUCAUACCAGGGAAGAAGGCCAACUCACUCGGCCAAAUAGCCCUGGACGUGGUUUUUGGUGAUUCCAAGCACUUCCGCAAAGAAAAGUUGACCUUUGAGGUUGUGGAUUUUCAGAGUGCAUACCACGCCAUUUUGGGGAGGCCCGCCUACGCACGAUUCAUGGCUCAACCAUGCUACGUGUACCUCAAACUGAAAAUGCCAGGACCCAAGGGAGUGAUCACUGUCACCGGCGAUCGGAAGAAGGCAGAAGAGUGCUUUCAGAAGGGCUCGAAGAUUGCCGACUCCCAAGUGACAGCGGUCGAAUUCGACGAAUACAUGCAAAACGCAGAUCCGAGUGAUUUGUUACGAUCUAAGAAGCCAGCCACAGAGUCUGCAUUCAAGUCGUCUGGUGAGACAAAGCCAGUCCAUAUUCAUCCGACUGAUCCCAGCGCAGCCCCGACCCACAUCUCCACAACACUCGACUCGAAAUAGGAAGAAGCGCUCAUCCAGUUCCUCCGUGAGAACUGGGACAUUUUCGCAUGGAAGCCAGCUGACAUGCCAGGUGUUCCCAGGGAAUUGGCUGAGCAUCGCCUCCGAGUCGACAAGUCAGCGAAACCAGUCAAAGAGCAUCUUCGGCGGUCCGCCGUCCAGAAGAGAAAAGCUAUCGGUGAAGAAGUGGCUCGACUGUUGACGGCAGGAUUUAUUCGAGAGAUAUACCACUCCGAGUGGCUCGCUAAUGUCGUCAUGGUCCCCAAGAAGGACAACUCACUCCGCAUGUGCAUUGAUUUUAAGCACAUCAAUCGGGCCUGCCCGAAGGAUCAUUUUCCUCUCCCCCGCAUCGAUCAAAUUGUUGACUCGACCGCGGGAUGUGAGAGACUGUCUUUUCUAGAUGCAUAUUCCGGGUAUCAUCAGAUCCGUCUGUAUGGACCCGAUGAAAUAAAAACAGCUUUCAUCACUCCAUUCGGGUGCUUCUGCUAUAUCACCAUGCCAUUCGGCCUCAAGAAUGCCGGAGCCACAUUUAUGCGAAUGAUUCAGAAGUGUCUUCUCACUCAAAUCAGUCGGAAUGUGGAAGCGUAUAUGGAUGAUAUCGUCGUUAAGUCGCGAAAAGGUUCCGACCUGCUUGCUGACCUCGCCGAAACAUUUGCCAACCUCAGAAGGUACGACAUCAAGCUCAAUCCGUCAAAGUGCACAUUCGGAGUUCCUGGUGGAAAAUUACUCGGUUUUCUCGUUUCCGAACGAGGGAUCGACGCUAACCCAGAGAAGAUCGGCACUAUUCUCCGAAUGAAACGCCCUGUGCGAGUGCACGACGUCCAGAAGCUUACUGGAUGCUUGGCCGCUUUAAGUCGAUUCAUCUCACGACUCGGUGAAAAGGCGUUGCCUCUUUACCGACUGAUGAAGAAGGCUGACAAAUUCGAGUGGACUCCAGAAGCUGACGCAGCGUUUGCCGAGCUAAAAGCUCUGCUCUCCACCCAGACGGUGCUUGCCGCUCCAAUCAGCAAAGAGCCUCUGUUGCUUUACAUCGCAGCCACUGGACAAGUUGUCAGUACUGUGCUUACGGUCGAGCGGGAAGAAGAAGGAAAGGCCUUCAAAGUUCAGCGCCCAGUGUAUUAUUUAUCUGAAGUCUUGACUCCAUCCAAGCAGAGAUAUCCUCAUUAUCAGAAGCUUGUGUAUGGUAUAUACAUGACCACAAAGAAGGUUGCUCACUAUUUCUCUGAUCAUUCUAUCACAGUCGUCAGCGACGCUCCUUUAUCAGAGAUCCUGCACAACAGAGACGCAACCCGUCGAGUGGCAAAAUGGGCGAUUGAACUUCUUCCCCUUGAUAUCAAAUUCGAGGCAAAGAAAGCCAUUAAGUCCCAGGUUAUAGCAGAUUUCCUUGCCGAGUGGAUUGAACAACAGCAACCGACUGAAGUUCACUCGGAGCAUCGGACCAUGUUCUUCGACGGCUCCAAGAUGCUGAAUGGUUCUGGUGCUGGGGUUGUUCUAGUUUCCCCCAGAGGAGAUAAGCUUAGGUAUGUGCUCCAGAUUCACUUUGAUUCCUCCAACAAUGAGGCAGAGUACGAGGCCCUCUUAUAUGGAUUGCGCAUGGCCAUCUCACUCGGCGUCCGUCGCCUGAUGGUCUAUGGCGACUCAGAUCUAGUGGUCAAUCAAGUGAUGAAGGAGUGGGACGUGAGAAGCCCAGCUAUGACUGGAUACUGCAAUGCAGUGAGGAAGCUGGAAAAGAAGUUCGAAGGGUUGGAACUCCAUCACAUCCCUCGACUGAAAAAUCAAGCAGCAGAUGAUCUGGCGAAGAUAGGAUCCAAAAGAGAAGCCAUUCCGAGUGGUGUGUUUUUGGAACAUAUACACACUCCGUCAGUUAAAGAAGAUCCCUUUACAGAGGAAGCUCCACAACCCAAGAGUGCCACGGACCCGACUGAGGUCGAGGUCCCGGCAGUGGUCGACUUGGUUAUGGAAGUUUUAGUGGUCACUCCCGAUUGGACAAUUCCAUACAUCGCAUAUAUUCUGAGAAAAGAACUCCCAGAGGAUGAAGAAGAGGCUCGGCAGAUCGUCCGUCGAUCCAAAGCCUUUACCGUUAUCAAUGGGCAGUUAUAUAGAGAAAGCCCGACGGGAGUCGGACAAAAAUGCAUAACGCCAGAAGAAGGUCGAGUCAUACUGAAUGAUAUCCACUCGGGGACCUGUGGUCACCAUGCGUCCUCUCGGACCAUUGUAGCCAAAGCAUACCGAGCCGGAUUUUACUGGCCAAGAGCGAAUGAGAUGGCGAAAGAGAUAGUGGACAAGUGCGAAGGAUGCCAGUUCUACUCCAAUAUGUCUCACAAGCCUGCGUCUGCCUUGAAGACCAUUCCACUCGUCUGGCCUUUCGCAGUAUGGGGAUUGGACAUGAUCGGUCCCUUGCGAACGGGUCGGAGCGGUUUCACGCAUGUACUGGUAGCAGUCGACAAGUUCACCAAAUGGAUUGAGGCUAAGCCAAUCAAAAAACUUGACGCCGGUACUGCGGUUUCCUUCAUCAGAGGGCUGACGUUCAGAUAUGGGGUCCCGCACAGUAUUAUCACGGACAAUGGGUCAAAUUUUGACUCGGAGGAAUUCAAGGAUUUCUGCAACGCCCAAGGCACACGAGUCGACUACGCUUCAGUCGCCCAUCCACAGUCGAAUGGACAGGCAGAACGAGCCAACGGAUUAAUCCUCAAGGGUCUGAAGCCCCGAUUGAUGCGAGAUCUCAAGCAUGCGGCUGGAGCUUGGGUCGACGAACUUCCUUCGGUGCUUUGGGGUUUGCGGACCACGCCUAAUCGGUCGACUGGGAGAACUCCUUUCUUCCUAGUCUAUGGAGCAGAAGCAGUCCUACCGAGUGACCUCCUUCACAAUGCUCCCCGAAUUGAACUUUACAAUGAAGCAGAAGCUGAGCAAGCGCGUCAGGAUGCAGUCGACCUCCUAGAAGAGGAAAGGGAAAUGGCUCUGAUCCGCUCGACCAUUUACCAGCAAGACUUGCGUCGCCUGUACGCCAGAAAUGUGAGAGGUCGAGCCUUCCAGGAAGGAGAUCUGGUCCUUCGAGUGGAUCAGCAGAAGCAACACAAGCUCGCUCCCUCUUGGGAAGGGCCCUUCAUCGUCACAAAGGUUCUCCACAAUGGGGCAUAUCGUCUCUACAACGUCGAACACAAUAUCGACGAGCCCCGAGCUUGGAACGCGGAUCUGCUCCGCCCGUUUUACACUUAAAGUUUUUCACUCAGAAGAGUUGUAAUAAAAUACUUCUGUAGUUCAUGAGCUUUGAAAUAAUAGUGUCAUAAUUCCUUCAUAAUUUUUGUCACUUUUUAUUUUCGUCGAGUAAAAUUUUCCCCCAGUGGGUGGCUUAGUCGCGAAUCCGUUUCGCCUAAGUUUGUACAAAUCCUACCGAGUGGUAAGCCAGACUUCCACUCGGAGGCUUAGCUGCGAAUCCGUUUCGCCUAAGUAACAAAAAAUCCUACCGAGUGGUAAGCCAGACUUCCACUCGAAGGCUUAGCUGCAGCUCAGUGCUCGCCUAAGUUAUUAAAAAUCCUACCGAGUGGUAAGCCAGACUUCCACUCGGAGGCUUAGCUGCAGCUCAGUGCUCGCCUAAGUUAUUAAAAAUCCUACCGAGUGGUAAGCCAGACUUCCACUCGGAGGCUUAGCUGCAGCUCAGUGCUCGCCUAAGUUAUUAAAAAUCCUACCGAGUGGUAAGCCAGACUUCCACUCGGAGGCUUAGCCGCGGUCCAAGGACUCGCUUAAGUAUAAAGGGUACUAGCAAGGAAGACGAGGCGCAGGUCGACUGCGAUCCUCUCCUCCGAGCUACACCAUAAGUAUGAUGUGCGUUCGCAAGGAAGACGAGGUGCAGGUCGAUCGCGACCCUCUCUUCCGAGCUUCGCCACAAAUACAACGGAAAUCCUACCGAGUGAAGAGCAAACCUCUCACUCGGGGGCUUAGCUGCAGCCCAGUGCUCGCCUAAGGUAAAAGAAAUCCUACCGAGUGAAGAGCAAACCUCUCACUCGGGGGCUUAGCUGCAGCCCAGUGCUCGCCUAAGGUAAAAGAAAUCCUACCGAGUGAAGAGCAAACCUCUCACUCGGGGGCUUAGCUGCAGCCCAGUGCUCGCCUAAGGUAAAAGAAAUCCUACCGAGUGAAGAGCAAACCUCUCACUCGGGGGCUUAGCUGCAGCCCAGUGCUCGCCUAAGGAAUAAGUCGACUGCAGUGGGCAUCUUGCUGAUUAACCUGCAAAGAAGCAAUUCAAGCCAAAAGCAAUCAUAUCCAAAACAUCCAAUCCAAAUUUAGGUCGAUACCUAAAGGAACCGAGAGUGCUCAGGCGCUAAGCCUGUUAAGGUUUUAUCGGUUACAACUCUACUCGGCAUACCGAGGCAAAUUUAAGGUCAAGGAAAGUUUUUUACCCCUCCUGUGGAGGGCUGGAUGGAGCAACGAACUCGUCAAGGUCAAUCCCGUCGGCAAUCCGCGUAGCAGCAGCAAUGAAAGUCUCCAUGAAGGCCCUGAAGUCGUGCUUUUUGGUGUUGGCCACUCGGAGAGCCGCCAGCUUAUCCUCUCGAGCAUCCUUGCAAUGGACUCGUGCCAGACACAGGGCGACAUCCGCACCACAUCGAGCUGAAGACUUCUUCCACUCUUGCACUCGGUCAGGGACAGCGUUCAGUCGAGUCACCAACGACUCGAGGUCAUUUUGGAGUCUUUCCCUGGGCCAGAGCGUCGAGUCGAUGCGGGAUGUAGCAACCUUCAGUCUUGCAAGAUAAUCCACGACGGCAGCAACACGGGACUCCAGUCGGAAGAUGUUCAUGGCAGUUUCAUCAUUCACUGGAGAAUUGACAGGGUCAAGGUUCGUCUCCACCUGGCUGGUUUCUUCUUCAAAGUUGCGACAGAACUCUGCAAAGACAAAAUCCCGAAUUAAGAAAACAGUCGAAUGGGAACAUAACAGUUGGGAGAAUUGGUCGAGUGAAGAAGAUUACCUUCAAGCAUAAGGAACAAUUUUUUGGCAAGACCACCCAAGAAGCCUUCCAGCUCGUUCUUCUUCCCAGCCAUCUGGUUGAUCUUCUCAGUCAGAGUAGUCUUGUCAGCCUUCAGUCGUUCAACAUCCUUGCUGGCAAUGGCCAGAGCAGCCUUCAGAUUGGUGUUAUCCUGUUCGAGCUUGGUGACUGAGGCCAGUUUUUCAUCAGCAAGCUUGAUCUUCUCAGACAGCUCAAGCUCCUUCUUCCUCUGGGCCUCCUUCACCUUGCCUGUAAAUUACAACGAAGUCAGGUUUUGAAGCAAAUGAGGGGGGAAAAGAGUCGUUGAAGUCUCACCAAACAUACCUUUGGUCUCCUCCUUUGCCCUCGUCAGAUUCUCCUGCACUAGCUUCAAGUCCAGUUCGAGCUGAGUAUGCUUCUGCUCCAGUUCAGUAUAGCGCGUCGCAAGAUCGCAGGAUUUCUACGAAGAGUCAAUCACCAAAAUGUCAGAGAUGAUCCAUUUCCGAGUGAAUAAAGAAAAAUGAUGCGUUUCUAAGACUACAGUCGAAUGCAAGCAUUCGACCGUAGUCUCGGGGACUACACCCAGUGGGUGCACUCAGCGUGCCCCCACUGGUCUUAUUCAAGACAGAGUCGACCAGUCGACUAAAAAAAAAAGAGCGAGUCGACCAGUCGACCGAAACUUCUUCAGACUGUAAUCAACUGCCAGCAGUCGACCACAGUCUCGGGGACUACACCCAGUGGGUGCACUCAGCGUGCCCCCACUGAUCUCAGGAACCCAUUCGUUCCAUUCGAGUGAUGAUCAACAUCUACUUAGUAAGCCUAAGACCGACUGCCAGCAGUCGACCUUAGCCUUGGGGACUACACCCAGCGGGUGCACUCAGCGUGCCCCCGCUAACACGGAGUUUUUACCAACACACCCAGUGGGUGACUGCUAUGAAUUCCAGAAAGAAAAGUUUUGAUAAUAUAUCCUAACAGAACAGGCGGUGGUCGACUGACCUGAACAUUGCUCUGAAGAGCGGAGCUGGCGUCGUAAGCUGCUUGGCUCGCAUCCCGAACGAUCUUCACCUGCUCCAUCAUGAUCUCUGCUUGACGGAUAGCCUCCUUAGCAGCACUAGCCUGGUCCUCCGGGACGUGGUGCGUGGCGAAGAUCGAUGGCUGCCCAGCACUCGACGAAGUGGGUCGAGCACUCGUCAACGGCACCGCGAAUGACACGGUGUGUCGAGUGCCGACCUCCCCUUCCGUCGCAAUGGUCUCGGGCGCCACCACACCUUGGGCUGCAUGGCCAGUAGAUGCCUUCCUGCUCCGCCUAGCCCUCAAUGGUUCCUCAUCCUCAUCAUCGUCGUCAGGAAGGGUGAUAAUGUCAUUGGUUGGGGCUUCAGGAAAAAGUCAAAGUCAGAAAUUAUGCAUCAGUCGACCAAGAACAAGAUUUAAAGUUGUAGUACCGGGAUUUGAAGUCGCCGCGUCCUCCAUCUCAUAGUCCUCAGCCUUGCCUGAGGUUUCGGAAGUCGCAGCCGCUGAAAUGGUGGGGAUGGCUACCUUCAUCUUUGGCAGAGGCUUGGUCGUCCUCGACGGAGCUACUUUCGACUGCUUCGGCGCCUUCUCAGUCGGCACCGGAGAAGCGGGACGAGGGCGUUUGGUCGACUGUGAAGCAGUCGCCACUCCCUUGCCGCGUUCAGCCGAAGGGUCGUGCACAAGUUUUGACCGCCUUUCCGAGCGCGGUGGUGCCUCCUCCUCCUCUUCAUCCUCGUCGUCAUCAUCCUCGUCAUCAUCAUCGUCGUCAUCGUCGUCUUCUGCAGCGUCUGAAUCCCACUCUUCCUGGCUCUCGCCGCCGCUGCCUUCCCCCUCCUCAGUCGGAGUCUGAGCGCCAUUGGGCAUUGAGUACAGUUCGGUAAGAGCCUGGGAAUAUCAAAGCAAAGUUCAGUCGACCAAGUUACAGAAACACACUCGACGGAUGUACAACGGAAAACAGAGCAAAGGUACCUUUUCUGGAACGCUGUCGCGAUCAAGUGGGGAAAUCCUCCGGGAUCCGCGAGGGUUGUCCUUGUUUCCGGUGAUCGCAGCCAUCCAUCUUUCCACUAUGGCAUCGUCGACUGCCUCCGGAUGGACGCGAGUCUCGUCUUCGGUGCCACAGUACAGCCACAUGCAGUGGCUCCGGAACUGAAGAGGCUGGAUUCGCCUCCGAAGAAAAACCUCCAGGAGGUCCAUGCCAGUCACACCAUCCCGAACCAGCUGCACCACGCGAUCCAUCAACAUCUUCACCUCAGUCCUCUCCUCUGGAACUACCUUCAGGGAGGAGGGUCUGUUCACUCGACUCAUGGUGAAUGCAGGAAGACCAGUCGACUGCCCCGGCGUCGUCUCAUUCCGGCAAUAGAACCAGGUCGACUGCCAGCCCCUGACCGACUCGGGAAAAGACAUAGCUGGGAAGGUGCUUUUAUUCCUCAACUGGACCCCUAAGCCACCACACAUCUGAACUACUUGGGUCUUCUCGUCGCCAGGGCUUGCCUUCUUCACAGUCUGAGAGCGACAUGUGAAGAUGUACUUGAACAAACCCCAGUGCGGUCGACAGCCCAGGAAGUUUUCGCACAUAGACACAAACGCAGCAAGAUACGCAAUGGAGUUUGGAGUAAAAUGAUGGAGCUGGGCUCCGAAGAAAUUCAGAAAACCCCGAAAGAAAACACUCGGUGGCAAUGAAAAUCCCCGGUCGACAUGGGUGGCCAGGAGCACGCACUCACCCUCUUCUGGCUGGGGCUGCCACUCUCGGCCAGGAAGCCUCGCGGCACCGUGGGGGAUCAACCCGUCGUUGGCCAUAUCGAGGAGAUCCUUUUCCUUGAUGGUCGACUGGAUCCAAUCUCCCUGGACCCAGCCCUUCGGCAGGUUGGAUCUCGACGAGGAACCACCACGGCCGGUAGAUCUCCCCUUUGCCUUCUCGGCCGCCGACGCCUUCUCCGCCGCCGACGCCUUCUUCGCGCGCUCCAACAUCGUCGUCUUCUCUUUGCCCAUGGCCGCCGACGGAAUGCGCAGGAGAGGAGGUAGCCAGAGAGCAGCAGCGGUUGCGGAGGGCGGAGACGAGGAGAGCAGAGGAGGAAGAGCGGGGUACUGUGCAUAAGCCCCCGAGAGUUGCAUUUAUAGCAUCCCUUCCGAGUGGAUGACAGGUGGACCCGGGCAAUCCAAUCAUAUCCCGAACAGUUGCGCUGCACGAUACGUGGCGGAAAAAGCGGCGCGGAAAUCGAGGCGUUCCUGUUAUGUCCCAUCCGAACGCCGCAGUCCGUUCCGCUUCGCGCGCUUCCCCAAAUUUCGUAUCCCGCGAGAUCCGCGAGGGACAGAUCGGUCUGUCAAGCGCGAGAUUUCCUGCGAUCCGUCGCUCGGGAAUAGCAAAGUAAAAGAAGGUCACUCGACCAAAGAACAAGAAUGGAUCAAGUCGACUGAAGAAAAGUUGCUUGUUAUCAACAGGGAAGAUCUUGAUCCAAGACAACACGUAGCUGGUACGCAAAAGACAAUCGGAAACAACGUCAACUCCUCCUUCACUCAAGCCUCAAUCCAUUCGGGGGCUAAUGAUGGAUUCAUAUACCUAGGGUAGGGUCAUAGGCCUGACCUAAACAUCCUACCCAAGGACACUCUCAGAAGAGAUCAUCUUUCAGUCGACCAAAGAGGAACCCACUCGACUGACUGGAAGGACUCGACCAUGGAAGACUCACUCGACCAUGAAGACUCACUCGACCACCAGAAGGUCAGAAGACACUCCGCGGCACAACGGCUUGCUAUUGAAUAGACUUAAUGUUAGUUAAGACACUUUAUGAGGGGCGUUACCAGUAACGCCCCAGGCUUAAUGUACUUUAACCUCUCCAUUAUGUGGGCUGGCUGGGGUCCUGGCGCACUCUAUAUAAGCCACCCCCCUCCACAGAUAGAGGGGUUCCCACUCUUGUAAUACUCAUACUCAUAAUCCACUCGACCGCCUCAGGGCUCCGAGACGUAGGGCUGUUACUUCCUCCGAGAAGGGCCUGAACUCGUACAUCGUUUGUCUUCACAACUACUCCAUAGCUAGGACAUCGCCUCCCCUUACCUACCCCUAUUUCUACUGUCAGACUUAGAACCACGACACUACGCACUAUGGGCGAUGAACAUGGAGGUCGCGAUGGAGGGAGCGGAGUUCUGGGAAGCCGUCGACCCCGGCGGCGCCGAGUACGCAAAGGGCGCGGCGAAGUACCGGAAGGAUCGUCAGGCGUUAACGGCGAUCUACUCCGCCAUGCCGAAGGAUGUGCUGCAACACCUCGUCGGAAAGUACUCGUCCGGAGUGACGUCCCACGCGGGCCUGUGGCCAAACACACACAAAAUAUAAGGUAGAUCAUAAAUAUUCCAUUACACGGCGGCAAGGAGCUCCCCGCCCAUGAUACCACUGAGGCCUUCAACAUUUCUCGUAAACUACAACACUGAGAUCUUUUUUCCAGAACACGCACAAGUGAUGUGCUUUAUUUAUUACUAUUAAUAAGGCAGAGAAAGGUUUCUCUGUCCCACACAACAUAGAAGGUACUGUAGAUAAUAAAGGUUUCACUACAUGGUGGCCGGGAGCUCCCCACCCAUGCCACCAGUGGGGUCUUGAACCUCCCCACCCAUGCCACCAGUGGGGCCUUCAACCUCCCCACCACCGAUGCCACCGAGGCCUUGAACCGGCAGGUCGGUGUGCUCUUCAAAGGGGAAUGGCUCUAGUUUUGGCUGAG
This 13873-nucleotide long non-coding RNA is filed under the name Triticum aestivum (bread wheat). RNAcentral describes it as "long non-coding RNA (TAES_LNC003941)". Lineage: Eukaryota; Viridiplantae; Streptophyta; Magnoliopsida; Poales; Poaceae. The record is from RNAcentral.